This is a long non-coding RNA of Perca fluviatilis (European perch), 478 nucleotides long. RefSeq lists it as uncharacterized. The record is from RefSeq and is a predicted model, not a curated record. The transcript has 4 exons. Lineage: Eukaryota; Metazoa; Chordata; Actinopteri; Perciformes; Percidae.
AAAUUUGAAACCUUGGUUUGUCAGCUGGCAAGAGUGGGUGGGAAAGAUGUAAAGGACUGCACGCACAAAGUGAUGGACAGGCUCUUCACCAACAACCUAAUGACACUGUUUAAUUUGAAAGGGAAGGGAAAAAAAGAUAAAAUUGGGCUCGAAGACAAGAAAUUGUUUUCAGCAAUAAAAGCUGCUGUCAUGAAAUGGGACGCAGCUGCCACAGAGGCCCAAAUAAAGUCGGCGGCAUCGGACCACCUAAAACAUGCCCCUGGGAGAGUAGGGGGUGGUGGUUAUAAAUAAAUAAAUAUACUGUGCUAAUAUUACAAAAUUUUAUAGCACUUUUAUUUUACUUUACUGUUCUGACUUUUAAGUUUUAUUAUGUUAUUGUGUUAAUUUAUACUUGCUGUUCUUGUUUUAAGUAUUAGUGUGUUGUUGGUUUAAUUUAAACUGCUGUUCUGGUUUUAAGUUUUUCUAAAUAUUACUAAUA